Molecule: ribosomal RNA, 498 nt
Filed under: uncultured bacterium
Lineage: Bacteria
Description: partial 16S ribosomal RNA
Rfam family: Bacterial small subunit ribosomal RNA
Source: RNAcentral
AUUGAACGCUGGCGGCAUGCCUUACACAUGCAAGUCGAACGGUAACAGGUCUUCGGGUGCUGACGAGUGGCGAACGGGUGAGUAAUACAUCGGAACGUGCCUAGUAGUGGGGGAUAACUACUCGAAAGAGUGGCUAAUACCGCAUGAGAUCUACGGAUGAAAGCAGGGGAUCGCCAGACCUUGUGCUACUAGAGCGGCCGAUGGCAGAUGAGGUAGUUGGUGGGAUAAAAGCUUACCAAGCCGACGAUCUGUAGCUGGUCUGAGAGGACGAUCAGCCACACUGGGACUGAGACACGGCCCAGACUCCUAGGGGAGGCAGCAGUGGGGAAUUUUGGACAAUGGGCGAAAGCCUGAUCCAGCAAUGCCGCGUGCAGGAUGAAGGCCUUCGGGUUGUAAACUGCUUUCGUACGGAACGAAAAGCCCCGGGUUAAUACCCUGGGGUCACGACGGUACCGUAAGAAUAAGCACCGGCUAACUACGUGCCAGCAGCCGCCGUAA